UGGCUCAGGAUGAACGCUAGCGAUAGGCUUAACACAUGCAAGUCGAGGGGCAGCAUUAUCAAAGCUUGCUUUGAUAGAUGGCGACCGGCGCACGGGUGCGUAACACGUAUGCAACUUACCCAUAAAGCGAGGAUAACCCGGAGAAAUUCGGACUAAUACUCGAUGGUAUUACUAAGAGGCAUCUUUUAAUAAUUAAAGAUUUAUCGAUUAUGGAUAGGCAUGCGCAUGAUUAGCUAGUUGGUGGGGUAACGGCUCACCAAGGCGACGAUCAUUAGGGGUUCUGAGAGGAAGGUCCCCCACACUGGUACUGAGACACGGACCAGACUCCUACGGGAGGCAGCAGUGAGGAAUAUUGGUCAAUGGGCGAGAGCCUGAACCAGCCAAAUCGCGUGAAGGAAGACUGCCCUAAGGGUUGUAAACUUCUUUUGUAUGGGAAUAAAAGAUAGCACGAGUGCUAUAUUGUAUGUACCAUACGAAUAAGGAUCGGCUAACUCCGUGCCAGCAGCCGCGGUAAUACGGAGGAUCCGAGCGUUAUCCGGAUUUAUUGGGUUUAAAGGGUGCGUAGGCGGGAGAUCAAGUCAGUGGUGAAAUGGUGUGGCUCAACCAUAGCAUUGCCGUUGAAACUGGUUUUCUUGAGUGUAAAUGAGGUAAGCGGAAUGUGUUGUGUAGCGGUGAAAUGCAUAGAUAUGACACAGAACACCAAUUGCGAAGGCAGCUUACUGGGAUACAACUGACGCUGAGGCACGAAAGCGUGGGGAUCAAACAGGAUUAGAUACCCUGGUAGUCCACGCAGUAAACGAUGAUUUCUAGCUGUUUGCGAUAUAAUGUAAAGUGGCUAAAGGGAAACCGAUAAGUAAUCCCCCUGGGGAGUACGUUCGCAAGAAUGAAACUCAAAGGAAUUGACGGGGGUCCGCACAAGCGGAGGAACAUGUGGUUUAAUUCGAUGAUACGCGAGGAACCUUACCCGGGCUUGAAAUGCAGAAGACGAAUCAGGAAACUGAUUUUCCAGCAAUGGCUUCUGUGUAGGUGCUGCAUGGUUGUCGUCAGCUCGUGCCGUGAGGUGUCGGCUUAAGUGCCAUAACGAGCGCAACCCUUGCCAUUAGUUACUAACAGGUAAAGCUGAGGACUCUAAUGGGACUGCCACCGCAAGGUGUGAGGAAGGUGGGGAUGACGUCAAAUCAGCACGGCCCUUACGUCCGGGGCGACACACGUGUUACAAUGGGUGGGACGGAAAGUUGCUAAGUGGUGACACAGCGCUAAUCUCCAAACCCACUCUCAGUUCGGAUCGGAGUCUGCAACUCGACUCCGUGAAGCUGGAUUCGCUAGUAAUCGCGCAUCAGCCAUGGCGCGGUGAAUACGUUCCCGGGCCUUGCACACACCGCCCGUCA
This 1388-nucleotide ribosomal RNA is filed under the name uncultured bacterium. Its description in RNAcentral is "16S ribosomal RNA". It matches the Rfam family "Bacterial small subunit ribosomal RNA". The record is from RNAcentral.